AGAGCAAGAUGACAAGCUCGCUAAUAAGCUCUGUUGGGGAGGUCUCAGCCCAGGCCAGAGCUGUGAAGUGAGAAAUAACAAGUCCAGUUUAAAUAGUGCUGCUGGGAUGGACUUUUGUGGCCAGGGAAGGGGUACCCAGGAGCCAGUGUGGCCACUGACCCAGCCUCAUCAAUGGCCCUAGGAUCCAGAAUGCCACAAACAAUGGAGCAAGAAUCAGAUCUGUGUGUCUGGGCUGGAAUGCAAUGGUGUGAUCUUGGCUCACUGCGACCUCCACCUCCUGGGUUCAAGCGAUUCUCCUGCUUCUGCCUCCCGAGUAGCUGGGAUUACAGACAAAGAAUUCAAGACUAAGCUGGGCAUGGUGGCACGCACCUGUAGUCUCAGCUACUUGGGAGGCUGAGGCAGGAGAAUCACAUGAACCUGGCAGGCUGAGGUUGCAGUGAGCCGAGAUUGCGCCACUGCACUCCAGCCUGGCCACAGAGCAAGACUCCAUCUCAAAAAAAAAAAAAAAAAGAAGAAGUCAAGACUAAGAAGAGUGAAGUAUGAAGUAAUUCACCCACAGACACCCAGCUAGUGAGUGGCAGACCUGGAAGACAAACUAGUUCUGUUUGGCAUCAGAAUCUAUGCUGUCAGCCAUCUCACCACAUUCAUGUGACAUCCAACAAAGUGGUCCUUCACCUGCUACUAAGUCUUGCUAGGGCUAGUUCCAGAGCCAAGACUAUGAAGUGGACAAUGAUCUAUGAAGCGCUAAGUGAACAGAUGUCAUGUAAAUAGCUUGGAUCUCUACGUGCAUGUGUGCAUUGUAUAUGUUUACCAAAGACCUUGUUACAGUGUUUUUAGGCAUGGCUCACUUUAUAAAGGUUGUCACAGUUGGCCAAGCUAUCUGGUAUUUAUUACUCAUUUGAUACUCACACCUGCUCAAUGAUGCUGGUAUCGUUACUCUCCAUAAUGAUUCUCCCAUCAUUUUACAGAUGGGGUUCAGAAAGAUCAGGUGGUAGAUCCAUAGUCACACUCUAGUUAAUUGAUAGGACUGAGAAUUCAAUGCAUGCCCACUGCCUUCUCUUACAAGUCUUGGGGUAUUUGAGUGUAAUUCAAUAAUGACAACCCCUUCACUGUCCAAAAGGGGUGAAUGGAACAUCAAGCUGUCACAAAGGCUAGGUUGGAGGGCAUGGCUUAUAUCCUUGGGUAAGUAGGCUUACUAAACUUAAACCCUAAAGUUGAACUGACUUAACUACCCAGUCCCAGCAGCUGGAGUGGGACAGGACACUGGGUCUAUAUGGAGAGGGGUCUGCCCAGAUUAGCUUUAGGACGUGGAGAAGCAGAGAACUCAUGUUCCUACAAACAGGUUCACUCUCAAGAUAAAGACAAGGAACCAAACUCAGCCUGCCUGCUUCAUUUUUUCAUAUUUGCCAAUCAGAUAAGUCACUUCCGCCCCCAGAGAGAUUUAAUAAAGGAGCAGAGAAAGACUUCUAAUAAAAUUCCCUCCAUAUGGAAGGAAAAGGAGACAUCGGGAGUUACGUUAAUCAUGCUCAUUUCUUAACAGUGCAAAUAUCAAGAGUUAGAAAUUAGAGUUCCUGGCUGGGUGCGGUGCCUCACUCCUGUAAUCCUAGCACUUUGGAAGGCCAAGGCAGGCGGAUUGCCGGAGCUCAGGAGUUCGAGACCAGCCUGGGCAACACGGUGAAACCUUGUCUCUACUAAAAUACAGAAAAAUAGCCAGGCGUGGCAGCGUGCACCUGUAAUCCCAGCUACUCGGGAGGCUAAGGCAGGAGAAUUGCUUGAACAAGGGAGCCAGAGGUUGCAGUGAGCCGAGAUUGCACCACUGCACUCCAACCUGGGUGACAGAGCGAGACUCUGUCUCCAAAAAAAAAAAAACAAAACAGAAAUAAGAGUUCCCACAUGACAGCAAGAAUCACUGAAAAUGCUGGACCCACUGUCAAUGCUGUAUUGUUGCAAAGAAAAUGUUUAUCUUGCCUAACUUUAAAGUCACACAUGCCUGGGAACUUCCAACUAGAACACAGCUGGCAAAGCAGACACCCUCUCCCUGCAGCCUCAUUGAAAAUGACCUCCUUUACAUUUCCUCAUUGAGAAUCUGCCCAGUGAGGACUGUGGCAGAAGAGAGUCAGGGAGAAUUUUCUAGCUGAUUAGGGUUAGAAAAUGAAGACGAGGGCUCUCUUGUAAUCAGCAGGAAGCUAUGAUAGAAAAGAAUGCCUUUUAAAUUUGAAGUGCAAAACUAGAAAAUAGAAAAUUAUUAGGGGGGUUUGAUGUGAAGUUUCGGAACUCUUUUCAAGACUGUGUGUUUUGAAGAUAAGAUUUUAAAUAAUGUAGGAAGGUACAGUCUAUACUGAUGGGUUCAGGAUAUGCUAACCCAAAAUAUGGCACCUUGGUGUUUGAGAAAAUGGCGGAAGCAGGAAGGUCAUUCUCACCAUCCACCUCCCUUUCCCCCUCCUGAAGCAGGUCUCCUUUGAAAGGCCCCUCCCUGUAACCAGAAGAAAGGAACAUUUUUAUCUUUGAAGUCACAGGGUCACAGAGAAGAAUCUGAACAGGACUUACUAAAUUCUUCCAGUUUGUCACCAUUUGCUCAUACCAUCUUUGUCCAGUUAUAUUUCUCCAAAGCUAUCCACUCUUCAUCAAACUUAGCAUAAAAAUUGUAAAACCUUACACGUUUCUUCAGGUCUUCCUUUUCCUUAGGAAGCCUCCCAUGUCACAUGAAACUUAAAUAAAAUAAAUCUG
This 2727-nucleotide non-coding RNA is filed under the name Pan troglodytes (chimpanzee). Lineage: Eukaryota; Metazoa; Chordata; Mammalia; Primates; Hominidae. The record is from RNAcentral.